Molecule: ribosomal RNA, 301 nt
Filed under: uncultured bacterium
Lineage: Bacteria
Description: partial 16S ribosomal RNA
Rfam family: Bacterial small subunit ribosomal RNA
Source: RNAcentral
CAGUAGCCACGGUAAUACAGAGGAUGCAAGCGUUAUCCGGAAUGAUUGGGCGUAAAGCGUCUGUAGGUGGCUUUUCAAGUCCGCCGUCAAAUCCCAGGGCUCAACCCUGGACAGGCGGUGGAAACUACCAAGCUGGAGUACGGUAGGGGCAGAGGGAAUUUCCGGUGGAGCGGUGAAAUGCCUUGAGAUCGAAAAGAACACCAACGGCGAAAGCACUCUGCUGGGCCGACACUGACACUGAGAGACGAAAGCUAGGGGAGCAAAUGGGAUUAGAUACCCCCGUAGUCCCUGUCUCUUAUAC